This 253-nucleotide ribosomal RNA is filed under the name uncultured bacterium. RNAcentral's name for it is "partial 16S ribosomal RNA". It matches the Rfam family "Bacterial small subunit ribosomal RNA", at positions 524 to 776 of the family's 1533-position model. The record is from RNAcentral.
UACAGAGGGUGCGAGCGUUGUCCGGAAUCACUGGGCGUAAAGGGCGCGUAGGUGGCGAGCCAAGUCCAUGGUGAAAGCUCGAUGCUCAACAUCGAGUCGGCCACGGAUACUGGUGCGCUUGGGCACUGUAGAGGCUAAUGGAAUUCCGGGUGUAGCGGUGGAAUGCGUAGAGAUCCGGAAGAACACCGGUGGCGAAGGCGGUUAGCUGGGCAGUUGCUGACACUGAGGCGCGACAGCGUGGGGAGCAAACAGG